GCAUAUCAAUAAGCGGAGGAAAAGAAACUAACAAGGAUUCCCCUAGUAACGGCGAGUGAAGCGGGAAGAGCACAAAUUUAAAAUCUACCUGGUCUUCAGGUCGAGUUGUAAUUUGAAGAUACGUUUUUGACGUUCUGGGUUGGACUAAAUCCUUUGGGAUAAGGUAUCAUAGAGGGUGAGAAUCCCGUAUAUACCAACCGUAGGGAUGUUAUUAAAUACGUUUCUAAGAGUCGAGUUGUUUGGGAAUGCAGCUCUAAAUGGGUGGUAAAUUUCACCUAAUGCUAAAUAUAAGCGAGAGACCGAUAGCGAACAAGUACAGUGAUGGAAAGAUGAAAAGAACUUUGAAAAGAGAGUUAAAUAGUACGUGAAAUUGUUGAAAGGGAAACGAUUGAAGUCAGUCAUGCCGGUGAGAAUCAACUUAGGGGAAACUCUGGGUGCACUUCUUCGCUUGGCAGGUCAACGUCGAUUUUGAAUGUCAUAAAAUAAUUGGGGGAAGGUAGCUCCUUCGGGAGUGUUAUAGCCCUUGAUAGAUGUGAUGUUUGAGGUCGAGGAUUGCAACGGAUACCCUUUGGGGCUAGCUGCCUGAUCUCUAAUUGGUGUUGGGUUACGGAUAGCAUGCUGGCCGUGAUCUAAUUACUGGUUAAAAGGUUAGAGCGUGCAUAAAUUCUUAAGGACGUUGACGUAAUGGCUUUAAACGAC
This 699-nucleotide ribosomal RNA is filed under the name uncultured Gigaspora. Its description in RNAcentral is "eukaryotic LSU rRNA". It matches the Rfam family "Eukaryotic large subunit ribosomal RNA", at positions 38 to 648 of the family's 3401-position model. Lineage: Eukaryota; Fungi; Glomeromycota; Glomeromycetes; Diversisporales; Gigasporaceae. The record is from RNAcentral.